Long non-coding RNA from Centruroides sculpturatus (bark scorpion), 903 nucleotides. RefSeq lists it as uncharacterized. The record is from RefSeq and is a predicted model, not a curated record. NCBI's taxonomy places the organism in Eukaryota, Metazoa, Arthropoda, Arachnida, Scorpiones, Buthidae. The transcript has 3 exons.
UCAUAUUAAUAUAUUUACAGUAUUUAUUAAUAGAUAAAAUCAAAAAGUUCCUAUGUUCAUCAUGAAUUAGAUGCAUUAGAAAGAGAACAAUUGGAAAUUGAUAAAAAUGCUGCAGAAUUAGAAAAAAAAUUAAGAAAAGUAAUGGAAUCAGGAAAUAGUGUAUUAGAAGAAGAGUUAAUGCAACAGUGGUUUACUCUGGUCAAUAAAAAGAAUGCUUUAAUUCGUCGCCAAAUGCAGUUAAAUAUUCUCAUUUAUCUUCAUUAGAUCUACUAUCCAUUCAGUGUGUAUCAUCUAGAUUUAUACUGUAGAUAUAGUUUAAAUUAUUUUCUGUAAUAGCCAAAAAGAAGAGUAUUUUAUUUACGAAUUAAAUCAAAAUAAAUUAACCAGUAAUCAGAAAAAAAAAAAGUAUAUAUUAAUGAGUUUUACACUUUAAAACUGCAAGUUAUAAUGAAGUUGAAGAAUGUAUUUUUUAGAAUUUUUAGCAAUAGAUAAAUAUCUUAUGAUUGAAUACAUGGGAAGUUAUUCUUUUUUAAACAAUUUUUCGGGCAUAUCUGCAACAAUUUUGUGUUUAUAAUUUGCGUAAAAAAAUCAAUGUUGUUAUUGUAAAUCUUGUCAGGCAGUUCUGAUCUACGUAGACAUAGUUAAAUAUUCAAUGGAUAUUUUUGACGAGUAAUAGAUGUCUUGCAUAUUUCUUGAUAAGAAAUAUAGUUUUGAUAGUUUCAAGAGAAGAAUGUAGUUCUUUUAUGAAUGUGUUCGUAAAAAAAAAAUUUCUGCUUACGUUUAAUUUACUUGUUAGAAAUUUGUUUAUAGAUCGUGUCGCCAUCUAUUGGCUGAAAAUAUAUUUAUCGUAAAUUAAUGAGGAUUAAUGUCAUUUGCAUCAUUUUUUUUUUUUUACUAAGUAUA